CUUAACACUUGUUUCACUUCACAUGUUGACUUUCUAAAAUGCUAAGGCCACAAUCAUGUAAGACCAAGAGGUAUGAAAGCUUUCCUGCUGUUCUUUUAUAGAUGUUUAUAGAAACAGCCUACUUUACCUCAAUGCUAACUACAACAGUAAACACCAUGCAGGCAGUGGCAUGCAGUCAUGGAUGCCAAGGGAAGCCAGGCUUCCCCCAAAAAUUCACCAAUAAAAAAAAAACGGAUGUAUAAUUUAUUUUUCGUCUCUGUGUUACAUUUAGCCUGAAGGAAUAUUAUGAAUCUCACAGGAGGAGAAAGCAUCCGAGCGAGCGAAACAGUGCCCCUGUCUCAGCCAUCUGAUGCUGUCUGGUCCAAACGAGUAUGACAUUGUUGCCGCCCGUAGCUUUGACGGCAAGCGAAGCCAGCGGAGAAUCUGGGUUCCUUGACGAAAAAAGUAGCAUAUGAGAGCAUAUGUCAUUGACAGAAAAAUGUGAACUGUUGCAUCUCGUGGUGUUGUUGUCCUCCGGUGGCUAGCCAGCCAGCUAGCUAAAAUUGGCCCUUUCUUUAAUUAGCCAUGGAUGUAGAUAGGGAUUUGGACUUGUGGUUUCACUUAAUUCUCUGUACUGGCCAAUGAUUAUAACGGCAACUCUGAUCCAACUAUUAAUUCAUACAUUGUUGUGCCCCUGGCCUGAGAGAAUGGAAGUUCAAUAUGUAGCUAGAUGUAGAAUGCUAAUGUUAACUAGCUAACGUUUCCCAUGAAUGGAAGUUAGGCAAUCGAGCAAGCAUUUUAGCCAGUUAGCCUAGGACAACAAAAAAUAAAAGCGUGUACUGUAUGACAAAGUGAUAUAUCAUUUCGUAAACAUGAAAGAGGGGAGGGUGGCAUUGGCGUUUCUCUACAAGUAGGGUGAGUCAACAUGUUUUUCUUCUUGCAUGAACACGCACACACGCAAACAAAAAUCAGAACCAUGGACAGCUACAUAUUUAGCUUAUGUUGACGACUAAAUAGUUUUUGGUAUCUUUUAGUUGUCACUGGCUUCCACAGUGAUUUUACCAACAGACCGCUGCAUGCAGGACCUGAGCCCUAGGACCAUGCCUCAGGACUACCUGGUAUGAUGACUCCUUGCUGUCCCCAGUCCACCUGGCCGUGCUGCUGCUCCAGUUUCAACUGUUCUGCCUGCGGCUAUGGAACCCUGACCUGUUCACCGGACGUGCUUGUUGCACCCUCGAC
RNAcentral lists this long non-coding RNA (1218 nucleotides) under Salmo salar (Atlantic salmon). RNAcentral's name for it is "lncRNA (ENSSSAG00000108244.1, ENSSSAG00000121537.1)". The record is from RNAcentral. Lineage: Eukaryota; Metazoa; Chordata; Actinopteri; Salmoniformes; Salmonidae.